CCUACGGGAGGCAGCAGUGAGGAAUAUUGGACAAUGGUCGAAAGACUGAUCCAGCCAUGCCGCGUGCAGGAUGACUGCCCUAUGGGUUGUAAACUGCUUUUAUACGGGAAGAAAAACACCUACGUGUAGGUGACUGACGGUACCGUAAGAAUAAGGACCGGCUAACUCCGUGCCAGCAGCCGCGGUAAUACGGAGGGUCCAAGCGUUAUCCGGAAUCAUUGGGUUUAAAGGGUCCGUAGGCGGGCUAUUAAGUCAGAGGUGAAAGUUUGCAGCUCAACUGUAAAAUUGCCUUUGAUACUGAUAGUCUUGAAUUGUAGUGAAGUGGUUAGAAUAUGUGGUGUAGCGGUGAAAUGCAUAGAUAUCACAUAGAAUACCGAUUGCGAAGGCAGAUCACUAACUAUAUAUUGACGCUGAGGGACGAAAGCGUGGGGAGCGAACGGGAUUAGAUACCCCGGUAGUCCACGCCGUAAACGAUGGAUACUAGCUGUUGGAUUUUUUCAGUGGCUAAGCGAAAGUGAUAAGUAUCCCACCUGGGGAGUACGUUCGCAAGAAUGAAACUCAAAGGAAUUGACGGA
This 575-nucleotide ribosomal RNA is filed under the name uncultured bacterium. RNAcentral's name for it is "bacterial SSU rRNA". It matches the Rfam family "Bacterial small subunit ribosomal RNA", at positions 338 to 917 of the family's 1533-position model. The record is from RNAcentral.